RNAcentral lists this long non-coding RNA (12411 nucleotides) under Coffea arabica (coffee). Its description in RNAcentral is "long non-coding RNA (CARA_LNC000137)". The record is from RNAcentral. Lineage: Eukaryota; Viridiplantae; Streptophyta; Magnoliopsida; Gentianales; Rubiaceae.
UCCGCUUACUUGCUAGCCCAACGCUAGUAAGGAAUUUUAGAAAUGGGCUAGUCCAACGCUAGAUCCUUUAGGUCGUCUUGCGCUAGAUUCAUUUUUGUGUGCUAUUCACUACAUUUUCAUGCAUAUUUUCAUUUUUAGGAUCUUUUCUCAUUUUUAUGAUAUUCCCUAUUAUAUUAUCCCCUACCCGCUAUAGGUGCUAAUCAUGUCAUUUAGAAUUGCAUCUCAUUUAAGCUAGUUCAUUUGCUUGUUCAUGUUAGGAUAAUUAUUUUUCAAACAUGGAAAAUGGGUGAUUAUAACUUUUUAGUUUAAAUACCCAUUAAUCCUUGUAUAAGAAAAUUAUGUCACAAGUUUUUGCCUCCCGUACCAUUUAUGUUGCAUUCCCUUUUUCUUUGAUCACUUAUAUCUAUGUAUAUAAUUUAAUUUCUUUUUUAAUUUCAUCAUUUGUAUACUCGUGACACCUUCAAGGAAUUAUUUUGGCCUUCGCAAUUAAUGCGAUUGAUUCGAUUAAACCCUUGAAUGGAUAUUUUGACCCUUUCGAUAUUUUAUAAAUUUAGAUUUGCAUCCAUGUAGGAAACAUCCAAAUAUGAUAAAAUUAAGGGUUAGAUUAGGAAAAUUUUGACUAAACCUCGCAACUAGCUUAGACUAGGUUGAAAGGGUGCCUUAGGUUUGAGUUAAUUGAACCUUUGCCUUCCCUUUCUUCAACUGUGACUCCCGAACCCAUUUUCUCUUGUUUUUCAAAGACCUGGAGUUGUCAAAAAGGGUUUUGAUUUAUUUGAUUUUUGUCAAAAUAUUUUUUGGGUGACUUGGUACACCAAAACUCCAUACCAAGUGGCGACUCCUAUUUUUUCUUAAAAACCUUUUAGACUAAAUUUUGGACCCAAAUUGUCGCAUUCUUUUUAAGUCCCAUUAUAGGUCCUUUUUCAUUUAUUAUUAAUAAAUCACAUCUUUUAAACUAACACUUUCUUUUCCAUCGCGAAAAAUGGGACGCGACAACUUGGCGACUCUACUGGGACGCUAGAGAGUCCAAGCACUUGGUUUAGUUGUAUUUUCUCUUUGUAGCCCUUUUAUUUAUCAUAUUUGGAUGUUUUAGGUUGCAUUUUUCUUUUUUAGAAUGUUUUGCAUUUCACCUCGUAUUCGUUCCUCGUAUUUCAUGUAUGUGAUGAAUGGUUUAUUUAUUUACUUAUUCGUAUCGCGCUUUGCAUUUGGGAUGGGGAUAUUACCCUAGAGCCCCACAUUGGUUCUCGAUCCCUCCCCUCCAAACCGAGCACUAGCAUACGUGCAUACGUUUUAUUUUUUAUCCCUCAUUUUUUUCUUUUAGUGGCUUGUCACGCCACUCUUCCCUGUUAGGAUUAGGCGACCCACUUGGACGUGUGAUCGCGACACGACGUGUGCGUAGCAUGAUCCAAGGGGUCACUCAAUCUUCCAUUUUAAGCUUUGGGUUGAUAGCCUUUAGCUUUUAAUCGAAGAUUGAGGAUUUUGAUAGAUUCACUUGGACAUGUGGCCGUGGCACGACGUGCACGUAGCAAUGUCUGGGGAAUCGCUCGAGCCACCGACAAAGAAUCUUGGGAUUGGUGACCUUUGGUUUUCAAGUCUGAAGGCUCGGGGAACUAAAACCUAUCGAAUCUAGAUGCAUUAGUGAGCCGAUACCUUAUGCAUCCAUGAUAAUUUACCUAAGGUAGAGUCUGCCUUACCCUAUUAGGGACACUAUUCACGAGGGGAGGGAUCCAACCCCUCGUUUCCUUUUAUUACUUUCUCUUUGUAUUGUUUUGCUAUAAUGUGUUAUGUGUAUUUAUCUAAUUGAACUAAUUUUUUGGUUUUUGUCUCCAUUGCAUUCAUAAGCCCUAGAAAAUAAGAGUCCUGGCAUGGUACUCUCUGGGAGCCUACCCUAUUUGAUGUGACACGUUUAAAUUCAAUGCUUCGCAUUUGCAGCAUGAAUACAUUUCAUUUUAGCCUUAGCCUUACCCGGCAUUUAAAUGGGGCACUUUUAGAUCAUAUGUCAAUUAUUUCAUUGCAUAUAUAACCGCUUUAAUAAACUGGCAUCAUACAUCAACUUUAGAGGGAAUGCCGCAUAGAGGAUCCCGCGUUAGGAAUAAGCCGCCUUGUGUCUCGGAUAUGUAAUCUAAUGAGAUUUGCACGUUUAUAUUUUUUAUACCAUCCAAAGGGGUAGUGCACAAGGUAAGGUAGGAUUCGAUCCCUUUUGUGUGACGGCAUUGAGAAUGAUGAAACAGUUUUUACGCAUUAGAAUAUGAGCCUUUAAUAAUCACUUUUUGGCCAUUUUAUCAGAAUUGGUAAAAAUCCCUUGCGUAAAGGACAUUAAGUUGAAGAAAUUCACAAAUUCCUCAUUGUUGAGAUGAUAAGUAUGUCAAGGCUAAAUCUUGAUUUUAGAAAGUUCAUAGACUAAUGCAUCACAAAGAAUUUUUUGAAACUACCAAUGGGUUGACAAUUUAAUCAACUUUCAAAUAAACCAUCAAUUCCAUUCACCCCAUUUUUACAUCUAAGAUGAUUAAGUCAAUUUUUUGGAUAGACCAUCCAUUCUAUACAAUUUUGCUCAUUUUUAAUUUCAUUUUUUGAUAAAUCAUCAAUUUUAUUCAAUUCAUUUAAUCUGUUUAUUCAUUUUUAGGACAAUACAAUCAAUUUUGAAUAAAUCAUCAAUUCCAUCCAAUUCAUUAUUCAUUUAGUCAAUUUUUUUUUUUUUGAAUAAAUUCUCAAUUUCAUCCAAUCCAUUGGAUCAGUUUUAUUCACUUUCGGGAUAAUCUAGUCAAUUUUUGAACUAAUUAUCAAUUUCAUUCGAUCCAUUUGGCCCGUUUAUUCUUUUUUUUUAAAGUUUUGAUCUAUGGUUCACUGAAGAAACUAGUCGGGACAUUUCAAUCCUUUCAAAAAUAAGUUUUUCACACUAAAUUGAUUUUUAACAUCGCUUCUUGUGCCAAUCAAAGCAAUCAAUCCAUUCGGACUUUGUCCUCAUUUUGUUAGUUAUCUAUCAUUGACGAAAAAAAAUCCAAUUAGUCCAAUUUCUUUCAAAUGCACUUCAAUUGGAUCUCAAUAAGUCGAUCGGAUCCAUCAGGUAUUGUAUGGUGCCUACCCCAGAGGAUUGCAUUUUUCAUACUAGGCCAACUCUUGGCAUAAAAGGGGUCCUCCUAGGACAUGCAUACCAAUUUUACAGUUUUGCUUACUAACUUUGGGUAUUUUUCUUUUAUUUUUUCCUCUUCCCUACAUUUAUAAAAGUUGUUUCAACAAGGUAAAAAUAUUUUUCCUAUAUCUGAUAAUAUUUUUGGUCUGAUAAAUUUUGAAAAUUGCAAGUGUUACUUGAUUUUUGGGCAGAUCCUACAAUGUAAAAAAAAAAAAUGAAUGAAAAAUCCAUUUGAAAACGCUAGUGUAAAGUAUCUCAAAAAUCUUUUGAUUCAUUGUUUCUAAUAUAUUUUGUCUCAAAAGAUAGAAAGAGAAAGUGUGUAUAUAUUUGAAAGUGUAUUCUUUAGAGAUUUUUAUUUGCUCACAUGUAUAAUGUUUGACAAAAAAAAAUUCAAACAUUUGAAUAAUAAAGUUUUUAUUUAGACAAUUAUUGUUUUGUAUAUAUUCAUUCUUUAUUUGCUCAUUAGGAGAUUUCAUGAUAGAUUUUAAGAGAUAAGGCUAAAUUGUAAUUUUUUCGACCUCUUGUUCGAAAUUCAUGAGUGCAUGUCCAAUUCUCAAAAUUCUUUGCAUACACUAGAUUUGUGGCAUAAACUAUUCAAUGAGGAUAGUCGGAAAUAAAAGAGGUCAUUCAAAUUUGAUAGCUUGUCAUAAAAGAUCAACCCCAACACUUUUCAUUUUCAUUUUUUUUGUCCACUUCUAUUGAACCUCCAAGAUCAGUCGCAUUGGUUGACUAGCUUCAAAGUGAGACAAUUUUUUUACCGUGAAAAUGUCCAGGGUGUCUAAUUAGAUUCAAUCCACAUCUGAGUGAAAGCAAAAAUGUACAUUAUUUCUUAUUUAUUUUGGGAAUUUGGGAUGAUGCUUUAGGCUUUCAUUUCUCUAUCCAUACAGUUUUUAUCAUUCAGUCUCCUUUUUGAACCAUCGCAAGCACAAUUUUGUUUCAAAUAAGAGCCUUGGUGAUCACAACCCUAUAUUGAUGAAAUUUUCAAAUGUCAAAAGGAAAUGGAUUUUUCCAAUGGGCUAUUCUUUACUUUGGUUGUCAUGAGAAAUAAGAAUGAUACUUUGGCUAUCGUUUCUACUAUCUGCACACUAUCCAUCCUUUGCAUCCUCAUUUGAGCCUAAAUUGAUGGUUCGUUUCAAAAGCACUUAUGAUCGCACCCCCACGUUGGGGAAGGAGAUUUGAGAAUUGAAAAAAAAAAUGGCAAAGAUGCUCAAAAUUUUUGAAAGGGACAUCAAAUAAAGAAAACAAGUAAAAAAAAAAGAAGAAAGAAUUACAAGUUGGGGGAUUUUGACUCUACCAUUGAUAUUUUGGUAUUCAAUAUCGAAAAGAAAGAAGGGCCAUCUACACUCCAAAUUAGGGAGUUUUCAAUAUUAUCAUUGACAUUGGGAUAUCAGUAUUGGUAAAAAAAAUGUGAAAAAUGAUGAUGAAAUGAAAAGAAAAGAAAAAGCAAAGACAUCCAAUGCUGAAUUCCCUCUAGUGAUUGAAAAAAAAAAAGAGAGAGAGAGAGUCAAAUCAAAAUUGGGGCAAUUUUUGAAGGAAUGCGAUCUUAAGUGCGUUGUCCUUGAAAAGUUUAUUUCUUUUAGCUAUCGUUCUUAAGCCAUAUUACAAGCCCAUAAAAUCCAUUGCUGACUUGUCUUUCAUGACAAUUUGAAGUGAAAAUCUUGCCUCUAAGGGAUCUACCAAUCACUCAUGAUCAGAAGGCCAUAACCUGUUUUCAUAUGUUUAGCUAUCGUUUCUACCCAUAUAUUACAAGCAUAUACAGCCUAUAUGUUGACUAAGUUUUCUCAAGAAAUAAGAGUGAUAAACUAUUUGCUUUCACCAAGAUGUGAUACUGAAUGUGUUGGAUACAAUUUGGGCACAAAAUCAUGAGUAAUACCCAUUUGAUUGGUUCUAAAAGAUGAGCCAACGAGAAGAGGACCCUUUUCCCUCGAUAUCGAUCCCAAAAUGAGGAAGAGAUCUUUUGCAAUCUGGUUUUAUUUUGAGGGAUUUAUCAUGAAAUCUUCUAUAUGAGUUUGGAUAUGACAUUUAAAUUCUUCAUUUGAAAAAUAUAGUUUUUUUUCACAUUGUAUGUGAUUAUUUUGCAACUAAAAUAAGCCCAAAUUGGGGCAAAUUUUUUUUGUAAUAUAUUUGUGAGACUUCACUAAAUAAGUUCCAACUGAGGCAAAAUUUUAUAAUACAUUUGUAGGAUAUGUCCAAAGUCAAGUAUAUAUUUUUCAAAUCUUGAUAAGUCAACACUUUGCAUGAAUCUUAAUUGUUAUAUCAUUACUCAAAAAAAAGAGAAAAAAAAAAACAAGAAGAGCAAAAAGAAUUCUGAAAAUUCAAUUGUUUCGAAAAAUCCCCCCUUUGUGCAGGUGUUUAUGGUUAAGAUCGAGGAAAGGACGCAAGUGAAAGUCUUGCAAAUUUGGAGAGCAAUCAUGAAUAAAAGGGGGCGGUGAUACUACCUUGCAAAGUGGAGGAUCGGCUAUUUUUGCAAAAGGAGUACAUAUUUCGGCAGUCAAUUUGAAAGAAAAAAUGAAAAGAAAAAAAAAAAGAGAAAAAAGGGGGCAUAAAGAAAAGAAAAGAAAAAAGGGGAAUAAAGAAAAAAAAGAAAAGAGAAAAGAGAAAAUAAAAGAAAGGGGGAAUGAGAAAAAAAAAAGAGAGAAUAGUAAAAAAAGGAGGGAAAAAAUGAAAAAAAAAAAGAAAAAAACGAAAAAAGAGAGAAAAAAAAAAAAAAGGGAUUGAAAAAAAGAAAAAGAGAGUUUUCCCUUCGAUUUUGCAAAUUUUGCAAUUGAACUCUGGGAGCUUUUCAUUGGAGAUUACAUUUCUAAGUUGGGGUAACACCUUGCCCUCUUAUGCUGAAAUGGAAGUGGUAAUACAUGCCAAAACCGAGAUCCCGUCCUUGCACAUUUUGACAAAGGCUCAGGCAGAAGAAAUCGAAUGGAUUAAGGAGCACAAUGAGUUGCUGUCUCUAAUUGAUGAAAAAGAUGUUGAAUGUUUGUCAUGGACAAUGCUAUCAUCAAAGGAUGGUUCGUUAGUUAUGAUAAGAAAGACAAAUCUCGCUUAUUUGAAGUGAGGGAUAAGGUUUUGAAGUAAAUUCUUCCGAUUCAAGAGGAGGUUAAAGAAAAGUUUGCUCCAACUUGGCAAGGGCCAUUUAUUGUUCAAAGAGUGCUAUCCGGAGGAACACCCAUUCUCACAGAACUGGAUGGACAGGUUUUUCCUCUGCCAAUCAAUUCAGACAUGUGUAAGAAAUUUUUUAUCUGAUUAGGUGAUUUUUCUUUUUGAAAUACCAUCUAGGGUGGAUUAAAGGCGAACCUUCUUCUUUUCUCUUUGAAUAUCUUACCCUUGAUUUUUCCCUUUGAACCUUCAAAAUAACUUAAUAAUUCUUUUUGAUAGCCCCCUAAAGGUUGCAAAUCCCACAUCAGGGCAAAUUUUAUCUCCUAUUUGUCAUAAAAAAAAGAAGGAAAAUAGAUUCAAAAGCCAAACUGGGGCAAUUUUUUCAGUUUUAAUACCCUCAUACUGGGGCAAAUAUUGAUAGAACAUGAUCUUAGGGUUUUUGAAACCUCUUUGAGGAUUUUGCUCUCAAGCCCUAACAUUUUUUCUACACCCCACAUGACCCCAUCAUAAAAAUCAUAAAGUCUCGACCUCCGCUUUAGUGGUAUUUCUAAUAAAAAUCAUUUAAUCAAAUGGCAAAUGAUGUCAAUACACCUUCACCAAGUUUGCAUGGGAAGGAUUGUCGCACUGAUGCCAUUAUUUCUUAAAACAUAUUCUUGAGUUGAUAAAGGUUGUUGACAAGAUUUGUUCAUUGAGUGAAAACCCGAAUGGGUGUCUUUUCAAAAACAAAAAGAGAGAGAGAGAGAGAGAGAGAGAGAGAGAGAAAGAAAAAAUGAAAAAAAAAGAGAAAAAGAAGAAAAAGAAAAAAAGAAAUAGAAAAAGGAAAAGAAAAUGAGGGUGACCUUAGGGAAAAUCCGAAAUGCUAAGGUCAUCAAUGUAAGGUUUUGGAGCACAAGAGAAUCAUGAACGAAGAGCAGAGUGUUGAAACUUGAAACGGGCAGUCCUUCAAAUCUGGUUAUUAGAAAGAGUUGAUUUGUGAUACAAAGGGAAGUAUGACUGACUAAUGCUAGAAAAUUGAGAAGAUUCAACACAAGUUGCAGCACAACUCUUGGGGAGCAGUUUUGACAUCGAAAGAUCAUGCUUGCAUGGUUCUCAGGGCCAAAAGGAGCACAAGGAAUCACAUGGUAUUGGUAUCAUAUGAUCACUCUUUUUGCUUUUUCGAAAGCAUGAAAAAUGCGGCCUUCGUUAAACAUGAUUUACACUGGGGUAAAUAUCAAAAGGAAUGAGCUCCAAUUUUGGUAAUGCAUUUUAAAUCGGCUUUGUAAAAUAAAAAAAAAAAGUCUUUUAAAAUUGAGAGGACAGUGACAUAUGUAUGUACCUCUCAAAUCUCUUGAAGGGAGAGUUGUCUUUAGUAUUCUUCAAGUUUUAGUAUUCGUCACUUUUGAUUUUUUCAAAAACAAAACAAAACAAAAAAAAAGUGUGUUUCUUUCAUUUCUUCUAAAAUUAAAAAAAAAAAGAGAUUGCAAAUCCACCAACUUGAGCAACGUGCAUUUUAAUCUUUUAGUUUGAUAGUAUUGAACUUGCAUUUUCAUUUCUUUCAGUGUUUAAUUGGGCUCGAGUCAAUGCCACCAAUAUGUUAUUUCAAAAAAAAAACAACAAAAAAAAAAUCAAAUCAAAUCAAAUCAAAAUCAAUCAAGAAGAUUCAAUUUAAAUUCCUGUUGGAGCGUAAUCGCGUCCCUCCGCGCAUCAAUUUAAUUUUCUGUUGGUGAGUCUCAGCGUCCACGCGCACCCUUCUAUCCCCCUUCUCAACAAUUUAAAUUUCUUGUUGGUGAGUCUCAGUGUCCACCGCGCACCCUUCUAUCUCCCAUUCUUGACAAUUUAAUUUUUCCUGUUGGAGCGUAAUCGCGUCCUCCGCGCAUCUUUUUCUAAAAGACAAAUUUAAUUUUCUGUUGGUGAGUCUCAGCGUCCAUCGCGCACCCUUCUACCUCCCCUUCUUGACAAAUUUAAUUUCUUGUUGGUGAGUCUCAGCGUCCACCGCGCACCCUUCUAUCUCCCAUUCUUGACAAUUUAAAUUCCUGUUGGAGCGUAAUCGCGUCCCUCCGCGCAUCAAUUUAAUUUUCUGUUGGUGAGUCUCAGCGUCCACCGCGCACCCUUCUAUCCCCCUUCUCGACAAUUUAAAUUUCUUGUUGGUGAGUCUCAGCGUCCACCGCGCACCCUUCUAUCUCCCAUUCUUGACAAUUUAAAUUCCUGUUGGAGUGUAAUCGCGUCCCUCCGCGCAUCAAUUUAAAUUCCUGUUGGAGCGUAAUCGCGUCCCUCCGCGCAUCAAUUUAAUUUUCUGUUGGUGAGUCUCAGCGUCCACCGCGCACCCUUCUAUCCCCUUUCUCGACAAUUUAAAUUUCUUGUUGAUGAGUCUUAGCGUCCACCGCGCACCCUUCUAUCUCCCAUUCUUGACAAAUUUAAUUCCUGUUGGAGCGUAAUCGCGUCCCUCAGCCCAUCAAUUUAAUUUCUGUUGGUGAGUCUCAGCGUCCACCGCGCACCUUCUACCACCCAUUCUUGAUCAAUUAAUUUCUGUUGGUGAGUUCAGCGUCCACCGCGCACCUUCUACCUCUCAUUCUUGAAAAUUUAAAUUUUUGUUGGAGCGUAAUCGCGUCCCUCCGCGCAUCAAUUUAAUUUCCUGUUGGUGAGUUUCAGCGUCCACCGCGUACCCUUCUACCUCUCAUUCUUGAAAAAUUUAAAUUUUGUUGGAGCGUAAUCGCGUCCCUCCGCGCAUCAAUUUAAUUUCCUGUUGGUGAGUCUCAGCAUCCGCCGCGCACCCUUCUAUCCCCUUUCUUGGAGCGUAACCGCGUCCCUCCGCGCAUCUUUUUCUAGUUAUGAAAGUUACUUUUUCUUGACUGUUUUGACUAAUAAUUGUUGUGCUUUCUCAUUCAUUUGGUGUUUCAUGUUUAGAAGUUCUGAGAGCUCAGACUUUUUCGACUUUGCAAAGACCACAGUUGGUCAAUGCACUUGUUUCAUUGUGAUUCAUUUGUAUUCGAACUACGUUUGAUCUGAUUCCCAUGGUGGGAUACGUAGGCAACUCUACAUGGGUUCGGUCACAUUUGCUGCAAUGUUAUUGCAUCAUUUUGUCCAAUAAUUUCAGCCAAGUGUUGGCUUGUUUAUUUUAGUUCAGGUGCAGCUACAAGAGACAGGUAAGCAAUUUGGUGUCUACGUCUUUGCCUUGAGUUUCUUUGAAACUCUAGACAAAGAGGGGCAAACUGUAGACACCAAAUUUUUGUCAAUUUUUAAUAUUUUCUCAAGAUUUUUCUAUUUAAUGAAUCAUUUAUUUUCUAGCAUUUUAAUGUGCAUUUUCUUAUUUUUUGCAAGUUUGUUUAGAAAAAAAUAAACAAAACAAAACAAAAAAAGAGAAAACUAAAAAAUCAAAAAAUCAACAUAAUCAUUUUGUUUCACCAAAAUCACUUAACCCAUUCUUACACUCCACUUUCAGGACCUUUCUUUUCAUUAGCUAAGAAAUCAUCAUUUUGGUGAAUAACACACAGAAGCUCCACUUUCUCUCCCAAUAUACAUCUCUCGGGUCUCUCCUCACAGGAGAAGGAAGAAAAGGAAAAAAAUUUUCCCUCCCUCUCUCGGCUAGCUCUUAACAGACAAGAAAAAAAACAGACACAAGAAAAAAAAUUCUCUCGGUUCUCUCUCUGGUCUCAACCGAAAAAGAAAAAAAGAGAAAAGCUCCUCACCUCACUCUCUCCUUCUCUCGACUUGGGCAGAAGAAAGAAGACAAGAGGAACCAAAAAAAAGGGCUCCCUCUACACAUUUUCUUCACAAAAUCCAAACACAAAGAAGGGAAAAGGCAGCUAUCGGUCAAGGCUUGGAAAUUUCAUCAAAACUUCAACCGAAAGGUUUUCAUAUUUAUUGAGGUAUACUUUUAGUUUUUUUUGUCAUAUUAAAUCAAUGCUUCAUUGUUUAGUUUUCUUUCGUUUCUGCUGGCUGCCUUGCAUUGUUGUUGUUGUAUUGUUAAAUUGGGAAAUGGCAUGAACCAGAUUUAGGAAAAGGGAAUGUUUCUUGUGAAUGCAUGUUAAUUGUUUGAAAAAAUGCCAAAAUAAAAAAAAAAGAUUUUUAGGGGCUGUUUUGCUUUAUUUUAGACUUUUUUGUUGUUUUCUUGUCAAACUAAGAUUAUAGUUGUAAUGUAGAAGCUAUGAGGAGGAUUUUGGCAUAAUUUUAUGAUUUUUGGUGAAGAUUUGAGGGUUUUAAAAAAAUAAAAACUGGGCUGAUUUCUUGACUUUUUGGCCACCUUCGGGUCACCUUUUGUAAAAACUAACUCCAGAAUUGGAAUCUACGCAAAAAUCGAGUGACGGAGUGUAUAUUGGUGAAAUUCGGCGACCGGAGAUGUCGCGGCGACGGCGGCGGCGGUCCGGUGGCGGAGGCAACCAUGGCCGCCAGCAGGAGAAGCUUCAGCUUCUCGGUGGAAGGAGAAGAAAAGAAGAAGAAAGAAAGGAAAGAAAAGAAGGAAAAAAAAAAGGGAAUUGGCUAAUGUUUUAUUUCGAUUGGCAAGAGCUAGUUUUGGGUUGGGUUUUGAAAAAUGGGUUUUGGUUUAUUUCUCUUGGUUUUGGUUGGCUUGAGGGAUAAAAAGAUGGUUGGCCUGCCUAAAAAUGAUGGCCCAGUGGCCUGAUUUGUUAAGGAAUAAGAACAUUUUUGCAUAUCAGUCCUGUGCUUUCAAGUAUUGUUGCUACGGCCAGACAUUUUAAAUUUGUUUCACUUAUCCUUAAUUAUUGUACUUUGUCCCUGAACUUUAUUUUUAUCUAAUUUUGGCCCUAAACUUUGGAAAAUUAUAUUUUUUAUCCCAAAAGUUUUCAAUUUUUGCAAUUCAGUCCCUAGUGAAUUUUAACUCUCUUUUUUGUGAUUGUUUCUUUCUUUAAGCUAAUUAUGUUACUUUUGAAUAUAUUUAACUUGCAAUUUUAGAUGUUCUUAAAAUUUCUUUGCGUUUGAUACGUUAAUGUGAAUUUGGUAUUUUAACAUUAUUAUAUUUUCAAUUAAAUUGGUGCUAUGAUUCUUUUGUUCAUUGUGAGUAUAAAUAGGACAAUUUGACUCCACUUAGUCACCACUUCAAACGGGAGGUACUCCUAUUUAUUAUUUCAAUGUCAAUUACGUGCUCUUAUGUGCUCCUAUGUGUUCCUAUGUGUUUAUAUAUUUUUAUAUGUUUUAUUUAUUGAUUUAAAUGUUCAUUUAAAUUUUCUUAUAUUAUAUUUGUUUUUAAUUUAUAAUUAUUCGAGAGGCAUUUAAAUACCUCAAAAAUGUAAUAGAUAGGAUAAUUAGAUUUGUUUUAUUAUAUUUUUCCUUCUAGAUUGUAGUUAGGCGUUCCGAUGUAAUAGAUAGGUUUGCUGUUUAUGUGGCUUAUGUGUUAUAUGUUUUACCUGCUUUCGUUAGGAUUUUUGCAUCUAGAUAUUAUGCUUACGGUGUUACGUGCUAGUGCUCUUAUGUGUUUAUUUGUUUAAUUUAUGUUUUAUUUGUUUUACUAUGUAGUAUUAAUGCAUGGCGUCACCACUAGUCCACGCUAGUUGUGGCUUCUCCCCGCUUACUUGCAGCCCACGCUAGUAAGGAUUUUUAGAAAUGGCUAGUCCAACGCUAGAUCCUUUAGGUCGUCUUGCCUGAUUCAUUUUUGUGUGCUAUUCACUACAUUUUCAUGGCAUAUUUUCAUUUUUAGGAUCUUUUCUCAUUUUUAUGAUAUUCCUAAUUAUUAUAUUCCCUACCGUAUGUGCUAAUCAUGUCAUUUAGAAUUGCAUCUCAUUUAAGCUAGUUCAUUUGCUUGUUCAUGUUAGGAUAAUUAUUUUUCAAACAUGGGAAAUGGGUGAUUAUAACUUUUUAGUUUAAAUACCCAUUAAUCCUUGUAUAAGAAAAUUAUGUCACAAGUUUUUGCCUCCCGUACCAUUUAUGUUGCAUUCCCUUUUUCUUUGAUCACUUAUAUCUAUGUAUAUAAUUUAAUUUCAUCAUCAUUUGUAUACUCGUGACACCUUCAAGGAAUUAUUUUGGCCUUCGCAAUUAAUGCGAUUGGUUCGAUUAAACCCUUGAAUGGAUAUUUUGACCCUUUCGAUAUUUUAUAAAUUUAGAUUUGCAUCCAUGUAGGAAACAUCCAAAUAUGAUAAAAUUAAGGGUUAGAUUAGGAAAAUUUUGACUAAACCUCGCAACUAGCUUAGACUAGGUUGAAAGGGUGCCUUAGGUUUGAGUUAAUUGAACCUUUGCCUUCCCUUUCUUCAACUGUGACUCCCGAA